ACUUCCAACAGGGGUCUAUUCGUCAGUCAAAACGUUAAUCUUGAAGGAGCAAAGGUUUGUUCAUGAGCUGUCAUGCUCGCUAGGCGAAGCCCACGUGUUUUGAAAAAAAAGAAAAAACGAAAAAAAAAAAGGAAAACGAAGAAUAAAUAAAUAAAUAAAUAAAUAAAUAAAUAAAUAAAUGAAUAAAUAAAUAAAUAAAUAAAUAAAAUCUUGGACUUGGACCUCUCUCAUUUGAGCCCACAGGUCCACAAAAAUCAGGUUAUAAAUUCAGAGUUUCAGUAAAACAAAAUUUCAUUCUAUUCCUAUUACCCUGGCUGGAGGAAAAAGAUAGUGAGAGAAGAGCUAACAGAGUUCAAAGCAACCUCCAGAGACUGAAGGGAAC
This 382-nucleotide long non-coding RNA is filed under the name Lathyrus oleraceus (garden pea). RNAcentral describes it as "Pisum sativum (pea) long non-coding RNA (PSAT_LNC005523)". Lineage: Eukaryota; Viridiplantae; Streptophyta; Magnoliopsida; Fabales; Fabaceae. The record is from RNAcentral.